This 572-nucleotide long non-coding RNA is filed under the name Triticum aestivum (bread wheat). Its description in RNAcentral is "long non-coding RNA (TAES_LNC002278)". The record is from RNAcentral. Lineage: Eukaryota; Viridiplantae; Streptophyta; Magnoliopsida; Poales; Poaceae.
CAACAUUGGACGCUUCGUGCAAUUUUUGAAGGAACUUGAUGAAGAUCUGUUGCAACUGCAGCACUUCAUACUUGUAUCUCAGUUAAUUAUGUACCCAUCUACUACAUAUGUAUACCUGUCAAUGCAAAUUGUAUUCAGAUUAGCAGUGCGACAGUGCUACUUAUCGAUGUAAUAGGCGCACUUGAGAAAUUCAGGUUGAUGUUUCAACUUCUUACCAGGCUAUAUUUUCCGCAUGCAGACAUAAGUGAUUAAGCUCAGGGAAAACCAUGGUAGUGGUAUCUUGUUUGAUGCUAGAACUCCCGUACCAGCACCAUGGGGCAGUCCUGCAGAUCAUGUGGCAAGUGUCAUGAAGGUUGUAAGGCGAGCGUGAAGCCACCAACAACCCCAUGAUUGAGCUGCAGAGAAGGGUGGACUCUGAUUCUACAGCUCCCGCUUUGCUGAUUGCUUCUUUCUGAUUAAAUUAGAAGAUGGGAGAAGAGCACCAUGGUCAGACCUUUAGAUCGUAUGGCAUGUGCCGAGGAGGCCAGCUGUCCUUCUUCCCCCAUUCUUCUUCUCCCUACCUCUCCUCCCCG